UUAAAUACGAUGUAUAAUUUUGUUGAAAAAUUAAUAAAUUUAAGAAUUUAGGGAAGUUUGGUGAAAUUCCAACACGAACCCAUCACUGUAAGCGAUGACGAUGCCUAAAAUGCCACUGGAUUAAUUCUGGGAAGGCUAGGUUAAGGGUGAAUCGUAAGUCAGGAUACCUAAACUUAAAGAGAAAUAGAU
Molecule: non-coding RNA, 189 nt
Organism: Clostridium argentinense CDC 2741
Lineage: Bacteria; Bacillati; Bacillota; Clostridia; Eubacteriales; Clostridiaceae
Source: Rfam